GAUGAAGAACGCAGCGAAAUGGGAUAACUAAUGUGAAUUGCAGAAUUCCGUGAAUCAUCGAGUCUUUGAACGCACAUUGCGCCCCCUGGUAUUCCGGGGGGCAUGCCUGUCCGAGCGUCAUUGCUGCCCAUCAAGCACGGCUUGUGUGUUGGGUCCUCGUCCCCCCCGGGGGACGUGCCCGAAAGGCAGCGGCGGCACCGCGUCCGGUCCUCGAGCGUAUGGGGCUUUGUCACCCGCUCUGCAGGCCCGGCCGGCGCUGGCCGACGCGAAAGCAACCAUUUUUUCUCCAGGUUGACCUCGGAUCAGGUAGGGAUACCCGCUGAACUUAAGCAUAUCAAUAAGCGGAGGA
RNAcentral lists this unclassified non-coding RNA (349 nucleotides) under soil metagenome. RNAcentral describes it as "partial contains 5.8S ribosomal RNA, internal transcribed spacer 2, and large subunit ribosomal RNA". The stretch from base 1 to 120 matches the Rfam family "5.8S ribosomal RNA", at positions 35 to 154 of the family's 154-position model. The record is from RNAcentral.